UACAGAGGUCUCAAGCGUUGUUCGGAUUCAUUGGGCGUAAAGGGUGCGUAGGUGGCGCCGUAAGUCGGGUGUGAAAUUUCGGAGCUUAACUCCGAAACUGCAUUUGAUACUGCGGUGCUUGAGGACUGGAGAGGAGACUGGAAUUCAUGGUGUAGCAGUGAAAUGCGUAGAGAUCAUGAGGAAGACCAGUGGCGAAGGCGGGUCUCUGGACAGUUCCUGACACUGAGGCACGAAGGCCAGGGGAGCAAACGGG
This 253-nucleotide ribosomal RNA is filed under the name uncultured bacterium. RNAcentral describes it as "partial 16S ribosomal RNA". It matches the Rfam family "Bacterial small subunit ribosomal RNA", at positions 524 to 776 of the family's 1533-position model. The record is from RNAcentral.